AUACAAAGUCCAUAUGAACCAUUUCCCUUUCCCAGUUCUUAAAUACCCAUUUCCCAGCUUCUAGGUUUCUUCCGAUAGGUCCUCCGGUCUUGUCAGAUGUUCUCAGUGAAGUCUGAUUUUACUUCCGGGUUCUGCCUUCUCUGACAUGACCAUGCCCCUGUGCAGUGGCGUCAUGCAUUCCACGCAUGCGUUCCACCACGGUUGAUCCAUUC
Molecule: non-coding RNA, 212 nt
Organism: Pelobates cultripes (western spadefoot toad)
Lineage: Eukaryota; Metazoa; Chordata; Amphibia; Anura; Pelobatidae
Source: the annotation of a GenBank genome assembly